CCCAUAAACAUUCAGAACAUUCUAGAGAGAGAAAGGGAGGAGAAAUUUAGAGAGAAAUCAAUUUUGACCAAAAUCUAAGCCCCGAAUCGCGAAGCUCAUGAAGAGAAAAGUGUUGUACGUCGCGUUGCCUUCAAUUUGAGCUAAAAAUCAGCCAAGAAGAAGAUUGUUGAAGUGGUUGCUGCAUACUUAAGAUUUUGGAGGAAAUGGGAUUCGAAUUUGGAUAAGCGUAAAGGGCAAGUAAGGUACACCCAGAUGAGUUGAAGUUAUUACAGAAGAUGUUCCAGCGGAGUUGGCAGGCUCCAUUUGCUCCCGGA
Molecule: long non-coding RNA, 314 nt
Organism: Lycium barbarum (goji berry)
Lineage: Eukaryota; Viridiplantae; Streptophyta; Magnoliopsida; Solanales; Solanaceae
Exons: 3
Source: RefSeq, a predicted model, not a curated record